Molecule: ribosomal RNA, 96 nt
Filed under: Bacillus subtilis
Lineage: Bacteria; Bacillati; Bacillota; Bacilli; Caryophanales; Bacillaceae
Also listed under: 4 other names
Description: partial 16S ribosomal RNA
Rfam family: Bacterial small subunit ribosomal RNA
Source: RNAcentral
CUUUAUCGGAGAGUUUGAUCCUGGCUCAGGACGAACGCUGGCGGCGUGCCUAAUACAUGCAAGUCGAGCGGACAGAUGGGAGCUUGCUCCCUGAUG